Molecule: ribosomal RNA, 834 nt
Filed under: Pseudomonas putida
Lineage: Bacteria; Pseudomonadati; Pseudomonadota; Gammaproteobacteria; Pseudomonadales; Pseudomonadaceae
Description: bacterial SSU rRNA
Rfam family: Bacterial small subunit ribosomal RNA
Source: RNAcentral
AAAGUAACGGGUGGACGGAUGGGCUAGGAUGCAAUUCUCGCGGAUGACAGGAGCUUGCUCCUUGAUUCUCCGGUUGACGGGUGAGCCAUGCCUAGGGAUCUGCCUGGGGGGGGGGGACAACGUUUCGAAAGGAACGCUAUUACCCCCUACCUCCUGCGGGAGAAAGCGGGGGACCUUCGGGCCUUGCGCUAUUUUAUGAGCCUAGGUCGGAUUAGCUAGUUGGUGGGGUAAUGGCUCACCAAGGCGACGAUCCGUAACUGGUCUGAGAGGAUGAUCAGUCACACUGGAACUGAGACACGGUCCAGACUCCUACGGGAGGCAGCAGUGGGGAAUAUUGGACAAUGGGCGAAAGCCUGAUCCAGCCAUGCCGCGUGUGUGAAGAAGGUCUUCGGAUUGUAAAGCACUUUAAGUUGGGAGGAAGGGCAGUAAGUUAAUACCUUGCUGUUUUGACGUUACCGACAGAAUAAGCACCGGCUAACUCUGUGCCAGCAGCCGCGGUAAUACAGAGGGUGCAAGCGUUAAUCGGAAUUACUGGGCGUAAAGCGCGCGUAGGUGGUUUUGUUAAGUUGGAUGUGAAAGCCCCGGGCUCAACCUGGGAACUGCAUCCAAAACUGGCAAGCUAGAGUACGGUAGAAGGGUGGUGGAAUUUCCUGUGUAGCGGUGAAAUGCGUAAUAUAGGAGGGAACACCAGUGGCGGAGGCGACCACCUGGACUGAUACUGACCCUGAGGUGCGAAGCUUGGGAGCAACAGGAUUAAAUACCCUGGUAGUCCCCCCGUAACGAUGUCACUAGCGGUGGAAUCCUUGAAUUUUAGUGCGCAACUAACGAUUAAUU